CCUACGGGAGGCAGCAGUGAGGAAUAUUGGUCAAUGGGCGUAAGCCUGAACCAGCCAAGUCGCGUGAGGGAUGAAGGUUCUAUGGAUUGUAAACCUCUUUUAUAAGGGAAUAAAGUGCGGGACGUGUCCCGUUUUGUAUGUACCGUAUGAAUAAGGAUCGGCUAACUCCGUGCCAGCAGCCGCGGUAAUACGGAGGAUCCGAGCGUUAUCCGGAUUUAUUGGGUUUAAAGGGUGCGUAGGCGGCAUUUUAAGUCAGCGGUGAAAGUCUGUGGCUCAACCAUAGAAUUGCCGUUGAAACUGGGAGGCUUGAGUGUGUGUGAGGCAGGCGGAAUGCGUGGUGUAGCGGUGAAAUGCUUAGAUAUCACGCAGAACCCCGAUUGCGAAGGCAGCCUGCGGAGCCAUGACUGACGCUGAUGCACGAAAGCGUGGGGAUCAAACAGGAUUAGAUACCCCAGUAGUC
This 460-nucleotide ribosomal RNA is filed under the name uncultured bacterium. RNAcentral describes it as "partial 16S ribosomal RNA". It matches the Rfam family "Bacterial small subunit ribosomal RNA", at positions 338 to 795 of the family's 1533-position model. The record is from RNAcentral.